GGGGUGGAUGGGCAGCCAUGCUGUCUGGGUGUAAGACCGUGGGUGUCAUACAGGGUGGGUGUCGUCGGGGUGGAUGGGAGGGCAUGCUGUCUGGGUGUAAGACCGUGGGUGUCACACAGUGUGGGUGUCGUCGGGGUGGGAGGGCAUGCUGUCUGGGUGUAAGACCGUGGGUGUCACACAGUGUGGGUGUCGUCGGGGUGGAUGGGCAGCCAUGCUGUCUGGGUGUAAGAUCGUGGGUGUCACACAGUGUGGGUGUCGUCGGGGUGGAUGGGCGGGCAUGCUGUCUAGGUGUAAGACCGUGGGUGUCACACAGUGUGGGUGUCGUCGGGGUGGGAGGGCAUGCUGUCUGGGUGUAAGACCGUGGGUGUCACACAGUGUGGGUGUCGUCGGGGUGGGAGGGCGUGCUGUCUGGGUGUAAGACCGUGGGUGUCACACAGUGUGGGUGUCGUCGGGGUGGGAGGGCAUGCUGUCUGGG
Gopherus flavomarginatus (Mexican gopher tortoise) is the source of this 475-nucleotide long non-coding RNA. RefSeq lists it as uncharacterized. The transcript has 3 exons. Lineage: Eukaryota; Metazoa; Chordata; Testudines; Testudinidae. The record is from RefSeq and is a predicted model, not a curated record.